AGACAGCCAACCUGUUCGGAAUUUCGAAAUUCAUAGUGAUGCCAAGCGAAAUGUCAUUUUUGGACCCCGUCUCACAAAUUAGCUCCAUUACAACGCUGGAACGAUUGAUCGAUCUUGGCUGUGAAAACCAUUUCAAGUGGUUUCAGCAGCCCAAAAACGCAAAAUACAAAAUACCCUUGUACUGAGCGAUACUCUCACUUGAGAAUAACCCUAGAGUCGUCGUUUGCUACACGAGUUGCCCAAAUCACUUAUGAAAAUCGCUUGAGAAACCCUUGAAAGCCGACGACGAUCAGAGUCGUUCAAAGUUCGUGUCAACAUCAUCAAUUUUGAUCAAUAUGUAUGGUCUAAUGCUCUCCCGCUCCAUCAAUAAAAACGCACAGUCGAGGACAGAAAAAUAGUCGUGAAUAGACGGAGCUCCUUUAAAUCAAUACAGUAAUUAUUUUCUGAGAGUAAAAGAUCAGUAUAUAAAUUACCGGGAUU
Non-coding RNA from Drosophila melanogaster (fruit fly), 480 nucleotides. The record is from Ensembl. NCBI's taxonomy places the organism in Eukaryota, Metazoa, Arthropoda, Insecta, Diptera, Drosophilidae.